Molecule: transfer-messenger RNA, 355 nt
Filed under: Phytoamicus setariae
Lineage: Bacteria; Pseudomonadati; Pseudomonadota; Alphaproteobacteria; Hyphomicrobiales; Rhizobiaceae
Description: Rhizobium setariae Alphaproteobacteria transfer-messenger RNA
Rfam family: Alphaproteobacteria transfer-messenger RNA
About the family: Bacterial tmRNA, also known as 10Sa RNA or SsrA, is named for its dual tRNA and mRNA-like properties. Its role is to liberate the mRNA from a stalled ribosome. To accomplish this part of the tmRNA is used as a reading frame that ends in a translation stop signal.
Source: Rfam by way of RNAcentral
UCCCUUUUCAAACCGGAGCCGACGUCCUAUAUAGAGAGUGCCGGUUCGCCGGCUAUGGCAAUAAACGGGCGGUGAAAUAAACCCAUUGGACCCGGGGGCGGUACCCGGCGCCUCCACCAAAAACCGAUCGGUCAGACCGGUUUUUGAUGGGGGCGAAAUAGGAUCGACAAGGGCGUAAAGAUCGACUUUUUGCUCGGCAUUGUACCACCGUUAUCGGGCUAUAUUGUAGUUGCAAACGACAACUAUGCUGAAGUUCGUCUCGCUGCUUAAUCGCAGUGCGACUCUUCAAAUCAAGUCCUUGCGGGUAGCACCGUAAGGCGGGGUUCGAAGGCACCUGGCAACAGAAGCCUUCACU